Molecule: non-coding RNA, 26 nt
Filed under: Homo sapiens (human)
Lineage: Eukaryota; Metazoa; Chordata; Mammalia; Primates; Hominidae
Source: RNAcentral
UGUGACAAGAGUGCUGAAUGUCAGGG